UAGGGAAUCUUCGGCAAUGGGGGGAACCCUGACCGAGCAACGCCGCGUGAGUGAAGAAGGUCUUCGGAUCGUAAAGCUCUGUUGUUAAGGAAGAACGAGUGUGAGAAUGGAAAGUUCAUACUGUGACGGUACUUAACCAGAAAGGGACGGCUAACUACGUGCCAGCAGCCGCGGUAAUACGCAGGUCCCGAGCGUUGUCCGGAUUUAUUGGGCGUAAAGCGAGCGCAGGCGGUCAAUUAAGUCUGAUGUGAAAGCCCCCGGCUCAACCGGGGAGGGUCAUUAGAAACUGGUUGACUUGAGUGCAAAAGGGGAGAGUGGAAUUCCAUGUAUAGCGGUGAAAUGCGUAGAUAUAUGGAGAAACACCAGUGGCGAAGGCGACUCUCUGGUCUGUAACUGACGCUGAGGCUCGAAAGCGUGGGUAGCAAACAGG
Molecule: ribosomal RNA, 430 nt
Filed under: Bacteroidota bacterium
Lineage: Bacteria; Pseudomonadati; Bacteroidota
Description: Bacteroidetes bacterium partial 16S ribosomal RNA
Rfam family: Bacterial small subunit ribosomal RNA
Source: RNAcentral